Long non-coding RNA from Prunus dulcis (almond), 1042 nucleotides. RefSeq lists it as uncharacterized. The record is from RefSeq and is a predicted model, not a curated record. The transcript has 2 exons. NCBI's taxonomy places the organism in Eukaryota, Viridiplantae, Streptophyta, Magnoliopsida, Rosales, Rosaceae.
UGAAAAACACACCCCCACCAAACCCCAAAACCCCAAAUCCUCAGCCAAAAUCUUCAAACCCUAACCCCCAAUUCCCACCUAACCACCUGCCGCCGGGGUCCUGCCGACGCGAACUCGACUAUUAUUUUUCAAAUUUCCAAUCUUCAAUUGCAGGAGAAGAAGAUGAGUGACAGCCUUUGCGUAUCCUUCUCACUGUGUUAUUUGGUUCCUCUCUUUUAAAUGCGCUACUUUUCCUUUUCUUUCGCUUCUAUUGUGUUAACUUUUUUUUUUCUUUUUGGUAAAGAGGAGGACUUCUAUGGUGUUAACUUUGUGGCAUUGAAUCACAGUAGAAUGAAUUUCAACUUGAUGGUAUUGAAUGAAUAUGAUUUUGCUUCAAGAACUACUAAUUGUUGAUCGGCUUGAAAUUCUUACAUUAUGCUUCUUCAAAUAGGCCAAAUAGGUCAACCAAAUUUCUUACAGUGUGAAAGCCUUUAUUAUAUUGUGCAUUGAUCCGACUAGAUUCCGACAUUUCACAUUUUGCAUUCGCAGUCUAAUUUGUGUUUUUCUAGUCUGUAGUUUUUAUUGGAUAUAACUUAUUUCGUUCAUUGUUUGCACAACUUGAUGCUUGAUGAGAAUUCACUAAACUAUUCUUUUAUCUUGCAGUUUGGGGUGCAUCAAGCAUGCAACCAUGCGUUCCAUCGUCAUUGCAUCAUAAAAUGUGUAAAUUCAGAGACUUCUCAGUCACAUUGCCCCAUAGCAGGGAGUCGCAAUUCAAAGGAUGAGAGAAAAACUAGAAUCACAUUUAGGAAACUUGUUUGCUCUCUCCCUCUUCAAGUGCAGUGGUUGCCAAUGCAUGCUUGCAAUUGUUUGAUUGUAUAUGGUUUAUAUAUCCCUUGUCUGUCUGUUGUGUUUUGGUUGAUGUAAACUGUGAAGUAGCUCAAAGUUUCACUUUUUAAUGAUUUAUUGUAUUCUCUAUAAACCAAUUGUUUGUUUAUUCGGUUUGAUAGGGAUCUCAGUGAUAAUAAUAAUAAAAAAUUACCGGUAGUGCUUUUAAGAUGUGGUA